AUGAACGCUGGCGGCGUGCCUAAUACAUGCAAGUCGAGCGAACAGAUGAGGAGCUUGCUCCUCUGACGUUAGCGGCGGACGGGUGAGUAACACGUGGAUAACCUACCUAUAAGACUGGGAUAACUUCGGGAAACCGGAGCUAAUACCGGAUAAUAUAUUGAACCGCAUGGUUCAAUAGUGAAAGACGGUUUUGCUGUCACUUAUAGAUGGAUCCGCGCCGCAUUAGCUAGUUGGUAAGGUAACGGCUUACCAAGGCAACGAUGCGUAGCCGACCUGAGAGGGUGAUCGGCCACACUGGAACUGAGACACGGUCCAGACUCCUACGGGAGGCAGCAGUAGGGAAUCUUCCGCAAUGGGCGAAAGCCUGACGGAGCAACGCCGCGUGAGUGAUGAAGGUCUUCGGAUCGUAAAACUCUGUUAUUAGGGAAGAACAAAUGUGUAAGUAACUAUGCACGUCUUGACGGUACCUAAUCAGAAACCCACGGCUAACUACGUG
RNAcentral lists this ribosomal RNA (496 nucleotides) under uncultured bacterium. RNAcentral describes it as "partial 16S ribosomal RNA". It matches the Rfam family "Bacterial small subunit ribosomal RNA", at positions 29 to 507 of the family's 1533-position model. The record is from RNAcentral.